CGAUAUAUAGAUUUUUGAAUUAAUACAAGCUAAUGAGAAUGUCAUCCCACUAUAUGGGUCUACAAGUUAUCUUGAAGGAAUUAUUUUGUGAAAACAUGUUCAUUUGAGCAACAUCAUAUAGCAUGCAAUUAACAAUUAAAGGCGAAUCAUGCUUGCAUGCACUCAAAACAAAACAUUACCCAUGAAAUUCAAAGCCUAGUAGAU
This 204-nucleotide long non-coding RNA is filed under the name Malus domestica (apple). RNAcentral's name for it is "long non-coding RNA (MDOM_LNC019136)". The record is from RNAcentral. Lineage: Eukaryota; Viridiplantae; Streptophyta; Magnoliopsida; Rosales; Rosaceae.